UCGGGAAUAAAUUCAGCGACCAUCCCCAACGACUCGCUCGGAGCAGAGACCCGUCGCGACGCCAGAGAGACCUGUCGGGGAGGAGGAGGAGGAGGGUGAGUGGCGGUAAUGAUUCACCAAUCCUUCUCUCUAUGAUGGCCGGCGCUUGAUGGUGCUUGCCCCCGUCUUGUUGAUCGCAGCGGCAGCGGGAGGUGUGGUUCUGGUUCUGGUUCUUGGUGGCGUUGCUGGUCGACUCGGCGCGCUGGCAAUCGGCGUCGCUUCGAGGAGGGGGAGGGUGGCGGUCGCCGGAGGUGGUGGUGGAGGCGACGGGGAGGAGCGGAUCGGAGGUAACUGGCCGCGCCUUGACUUCCUCUUUUUUUUUCUUGCCUGCUU
This 372-nucleotide long non-coding RNA is filed under the name Oryza brachyantha (malo sina). RNAcentral describes it as "long non-coding RNA (OBRA_LNC002726)". Lineage: Eukaryota; Viridiplantae; Streptophyta; Magnoliopsida; Poales; Poaceae. The record is from RNAcentral.